This 455-nucleotide ribosomal RNA is filed under the name uncultured bacterium. RNAcentral describes it as "bacterial SSU rRNA". It matches the Rfam family "Bacterial small subunit ribosomal RNA", at positions 28 to 492 of the family's 1533-position model. The record is from RNAcentral.
GAUGAACGCUGGCGGCGUGCUUAACACAUGCAAGUCGAACGGGAUCCAGGCAGCUUGCUGCCUGGUGAGAGUGGCGAACGGGUGAGUAAUGCGUGACCGACCUGCCCCAUACACCGGAAUAGCUCCUGGAAACGGGUGGUAAUGCCGGAUGCUCCGACUCCUCGCAUGGGGUGUCGGGAAAGAUUAUAUCGGUAUGGGAUGGGGUCGCGUCCUAUCAGGUAGUCGGCGGGGUAACGGCCCACCGAGCCUACGACGGGUAGCCGGCCUGAGAGGGCGACCGGCCACAUUGGGACUGAGAUACGGCCCAGACUCCUACGGGAGGCAGCAGUGGGGAAUAUUGCACAAUGGGCGCAAGCCUGAUGCAGCGACGCCGCGUGCGGGAUGACGGCCUUCGGGUUGUAAACCGCUUUUGAUCGGGAGCAAGCCUUCGGGUGAGUGUACCUUUCGAAUAAGCA